UAGGGAAUCUUCCACAAUGGACGCAAGUCUGAUGGAGCAACGCCGCGUGAGUGAAGAAGGUCUUCGGAUCGGAAAACUCUGUUGUUAGAGAAGAACACGAGUGAGAGUAACUGUUCAUUCGAUGACGGUAUCUAACCAGCAAGUCACGGCUAACUACGUGCCAA
Molecule: ribosomal RNA, 164 nt
Filed under: uncultured bacterium
Lineage: Bacteria
Description: partial 16S rRNA
Rfam family: Bacterial small subunit ribosomal RNA
Source: RNAcentral